This is a long non-coding RNA of Daucus carota subsp. sativus, 451 nucleotides long. RefSeq lists it as uncharacterized. The transcript is spliced from 2 exons. The record is from RefSeq and is a predicted model, not a curated record. NCBI's taxonomy places the organism in Eukaryota, Viridiplantae, Streptophyta, Magnoliopsida, Apiales, Apiaceae.
GAUGAAGGAGAAGCAGUGAUGCCGAGAGUAGUGAAGAGGGCGAGAAAAUUACACGCAAUUGGAGUGUCCUAAAAAGCACUCCUGAACUUCGUAAGACAAAGGAAAAACCUAGGAAGAAUGGCAUGUCUCUUGACGAAGCUAUAGAUGAUCCGGAGAACAUAACUGACUUUAUUCUGGAUUUGGACGAGGACGUACGAGUAAUGUCUAUCAGAUGCUAAAAUACUGAGGUAAGUUGAUGAGAUUUAGUUAAGGGGAAUCAGACAGAGACCUACAUUGGUUUACAUGUCAUGGAGUAUACUUGAAAGACAACAGCUGAGACAUUAGGGCAAUCAUAAUAGAUUUAAGAGUUACUGAUUUUAUAUGUAACUCCUAUUUGGUGACUUCUAAAAAUGAAGAUUGUUAAGGAAUUGUGAAGAUUGUAAUUUUGGGAAAGUGCCUGGUCUUUAAAACC